GAUUUUACCUUUCCAGGUUUAAAAUGUUUCUCUGCCCUCUGGGUUUGAGAUUUCAGCUCAUUGUAUGCAUGUACACACAUAGCUCACAAUACCUCUAUUAUUAUAACAUCCCUCUGCUCACAUUUUAUAGCUGGGAACUGGGGAUGGUUGAGUGAUUUGCCCAAAGGUUAUGGGAGAAGUAUGUUGAAGAACUUCAGUGUAUCAAUACAUAGAGAGCUCACUGUCUUCCCUGUGCUUCAUGGUAUUCUUAAAGUCUAGGGCAAGAAGAUCCUCCCAACCUGGAAUAGCUUCAGGUAUAGGUUCAGGGAUGGAGUACCUGUCUGGAGUUUGGACCAGCAGGGAUGUAUGUGGAGAGGGGUCCUCACAGAUUGGCAAGAGAGCACUUUAAUUUUUCAACUCUGUCAAUUCUUGGUGACUUCACUGAAUUCUGGAGAGGUUGGAUCUGUAUCGUAUGAUGUGAUCAGUUCUUUGCCAUAUACCUAUGUCUAACUCUAACCUCCAAAUCAUUAACUAAAAAGUAAAGCUCCAGAAAGGCAAAUUGGAAGAAAAUAAGAUAUUGAUACUGGAAACAGUUGAAAACUGGGAAAUGGAUAAACUUUAAGGACCAGUGCUUUAUCCAAGGCAUCACCCUAGUUACCAACACUGGGCAUGUUGGAUAUCUGCUCUGAGGAAGGAUAAGAUUGAGACUGAACCUGUAAUUUUGCUGAUAAAGGGAACUCUUAGAUGAAGAAGCCUUCCUCGUUUAUACAGAGAAAAUAUCAGCAUGCUAAGGGGUAGAGCUUAAUAUUAUGAAGAGUUGUUUUUUUCUGUGUAUGAAGCUAAUAACAAUGCUUAAUAUGGAUUAAAAUCUAAUGUGCCUGCUCCCAUCAACACCUUGUGCUAAGCAAAUGAGCAACUCAAGAGUAUGAAAUUAGUGUAUAAACAAAUGCUUCUGGCUAGACAGUUUACCAGCAUGGUAAUGAAGAAGAAAAAAAGGAGAAAA
This is a long non-coding RNA of Sarcophilus harrisii (Tasmanian devil), 982 nucleotides long. RefSeq lists it as uncharacterized. The record is from RefSeq and is a predicted model, not a curated record. The transcript is spliced from 4 exons. NCBI's taxonomy places the organism in Eukaryota, Metazoa, Chordata, Mammalia, Dasyuromorphia, Dasyuridae.